RNAcentral lists this ribosomal RNA (693 nucleotides) under Scolopocryptops melanostomus. Its description in RNAcentral is "eukaryotic LSU rRNA". It matches the Rfam family "Eukaryotic large subunit ribosomal RNA", at positions 666 to 946 of the family's 3401-position model. The record is from RNAcentral. Lineage: Eukaryota; Metazoa; Arthropoda; Chilopoda; Scolopendromorpha; Cryptopidae.
CCAAGGAGUCUAACACGUGCGCGAGUCGUCGGGUCGUCCUCCGAAAAGUCGACGAAACCCGAACGGCGCAAUGAAAGUGAAGGUCUCGUUCCGUCCUUGCGUUUCUGUCUCCCAGCCUUUGUUUUGUUGCCUCUUUCCUUUGCCGUUCUCAUCUUGCCUCGUUCGCGCGGGGUAUUGGUUUGGCGGUAGGGCAGGGUACAUCGGGGUUGGCCGGGACGUUCGCGAGGCGGGCUUGACCGAGGCGGGAUCCGGUGCAAUCCCUUUCGGUUCAUUUAAAGUUCGGGGGGAGAGACUGCGGGGGAAGUGGAAAUUCGUUUCCGCUUUCUUUUAACCUCCUCCUCCGUUCCGAACCGAUGAAGCCGGGGCACGCUUAAAAAUAGCGGCGUUCGGAGUAGCGGUUUUUCGUCGUCGUCAUCGGCGUGGUGCGUUCGCGCGCCUCGUUCGUGCGGCGCGAAUUUUCGCGAGCCCGUUCCUGUCUGGCAGCCCUCGGCCGGCGCACCGCCGGCCCGUCUCAAUGCCGCAACGAUACGGCGAGGCGGAGCCAGAGCGUACACGUUGGGACCCGAAAGAUGGUGAACUAUGCUCGGGCAGGACGAAGCCAGAGGAAACUCUGGUGGAGGUCCGUAGCGAUUCUGACGUGCAAAUCGAUCGUCGGACCUGAGUAUAGGGGCGAAAGACUAAUCGAACCGUCUA